Molecule: ribosomal RNA, 254 nt
Filed under: uncultured bacterium
Lineage: Bacteria
Description: partial 16S ribosomal RNA
Rfam family: Bacterial small subunit ribosomal RNA
Source: RNAcentral
UACGUAGGCAGCGAGCGUUGUUCGGAGUUACUGGGCGUAAAGGGUGUGUAGGCGGUUGUUUAAGUUUGGUGUGAAAUCUCCCGGCUCAACUGGGAGGGUGCGCCGAAUACUGAAUGACUUGGAGUGCGGGAGAGGAAAGUGGAAUUCCUGGUGUAGCGGUGAAAUGCGUAGAUAUCAGGAGGAACACCGGUGGUGUAGACGGCUUUCUGGACCGUAACUGACGCUGAGGAGCGAAAGCGUGGGGAGCGAACAGG